RNAcentral lists this unclassified non-coding RNA (1718 nucleotides) under Hevea brasiliensis (rubber tree). The record is from RNAcentral. Lineage: Eukaryota; Viridiplantae; Streptophyta; Magnoliopsida; Malpighiales; Euphorbiaceae.
GGAAAAUUUUCCGUGCGGUGUAUCAAAUUCGUCCGACAAGGCACCCUGACCAAGUGCGGAGAAAUUUUCUGUUUCUGACUACCAGACUCAAUGGAACGCGCGUGAUUCAACGCCACCUACUCACCUCACUGCUCCGUAUAUAAAACACGUGUCCCUCCCUCUUCCAAUGGAACAGAGCACCGGCUUCCAACUCUGCACGAUCUUUAGCCCAAGAAAUCAUCCAUACUAAGACAAAUCCCUCACGAAAACUACAAAUCAUAGCUUCGAGCACAAUCACUCUCACUAAUUCUGCUCAAAGGAUUGACCAGGUUUAUUUUGAUUUGUUGUUGUGGUGGGGGAGGUUCUGUAGGUUUUAUACUCGCCCAUGUAUGCCUGUGGUUCUAAAUUGAAAGUUUGUGUCCACUGGAACUCAAUUAAGGGAUAAACAUGAGUGGUGUACACAAGAAUACUAGCAUCUGUGAUGAUGAGAGUGCUCACUAUAGAUCAUUUGCAAGGCAAGGACCAAAUGGGAAUUCUGAUUUUCUUGAUCACGAAAUUGCUCAGCUCACAAAACUAAGAUCAGCACCCAAUGAAUUUUUAAGUAAGAAUGUACCUGGCAAGUUCAGGCUACCAGUCUCAACUGUGAAAAUGUUGGUUGGUCGAGAGUGUAAUUAUUCUGGGAGGGGAAGAUUCUCAACUGCAGAUGGUUGUCAUGUUUUAAGCCAAUAUUUGCCUGUCAAUGGUCCUUGUAGGGUGGACCGGAUGAAAAGCCGUGCUUAUGUUUCUCAGUUUUCUGAUGAUGGUACUCUUUUCAUUGCAGGAUUUCAGGGAAGCCACAUUAGGAUAUAUAAUGUGGAUAAGGACUGGAAAGUUCAGAAAGACAUUUUAGCCAAAAGUUUGAGAUGGACAAUUACUGAUACUUGUCUUUCACCGGAUCAGCGCCAUCUUGUAAGUCUGUGGUAAUUGUUGGACAAAGAGGCAUGUUAGAUAUACGAUCAAGAUGGGAAAUCAGAAUCAUUACCUGAUGCAUUAAUGCAGGUUCUUUGAUUUUAAUCAAGAGCUGCUUUUUAUUUGGUGGACCACUUCUGUUACAACUUAGAACUUCUUAGCAAAUUAAAUAUCAGUCAGAAAUUUCUUCAGUAUCUAUCUGUUUGUUUCCUGGUUCAUUGUGUUGUAAUUUUUCAUUUUUAGGAAAUGCUCAUGUUAUUGGAUCAUCUUUUUACCCAAUUAUUUGUUCAUUGACCUUUUCUUGCACUGUACAUGCAUGUGUAGUUGUGUACACAUCUGUGCCUGCAUGCAUUUGCACAUUUUGUUACUUGCAUGCCCAUUUACAUGCAUGUGCACAUGACUAGUGCUUUAGACAAUUAUUUAUUUGUUGCCUCCCUUUCCACCUCCUUAUUGUGGUGUUUUGCAUGUAUGUUGGGGGUAGGGAGAGGGGGAAGGCUAGGGUGCUCUUUUGUAAUAGUGUUUUCUUCUUUGCUUGAAAAGCCUGGAAGAAGGGAUCUAUUGGCCACAUUGGCAGAUGCAGUAGCAAAAAUGAGGGGUUAAUUUACCUCUCUUUCUUGUUAAAUUACUCUUAUGUAUAUAUGUACUCAUCUACAUUGACUCCUCAUAAAUUUAAUUGUUAAAUCCUCUUUUUUAAUAACAAAUGUAUUUCUACAAAUGGGAGUCAAUUGACACUCUUUUUAUUAAAAAAGAAAAGAGGGUGUUUAGCUUGGCUACUUACUUUUAACUUUUUG